This 460-nucleotide ribosomal RNA is filed under the name uncultured bacterium. Its description in RNAcentral is "partial 16S ribosomal RNA". It matches the Rfam family "Bacterial small subunit ribosomal RNA", at positions 338 to 795 of the family's 1533-position model. The record is from RNAcentral.
CCUACGGGUGGCAGCAGUGAGGAAUCUUGGUCAAUGGGCGCGAGCCUGAACCAGCCAAGUAGCGUGAAGGAUGACUGCCCUACGGGUUGUAAACUUCUUUUAUAAAGGAAUAAAGUGAGGCACGUGUGCCUUUUUGUAUGUACUUUAUGAAUAAGGAUCGGCUAACUCCGUGCCAGCAGCCGCGGUAAUACGGAGGAUCCGAGCGUUAUCUGGAUUUAUUGGGUUUAAAGGGAGCGUAGUUGGGUUGUUAAGUGAGUUGUGAAAGUUUUGGGCACAACCGUACUAGUGCAUUUGAUACUGGAAGACUUGAGAUCAGAUGAGGUAGGCGGAACUCAAGGUGUAGCGGUGAAAUGCGUAGAUAUAGUGAAGAACACAGGUUGCGAAGGCAGCUUACCAAACUGUAUCGGACGUUGAGGUUCGAAAGUGUGGGUAGCAAACAGGAUUAGAGACCCUAGUAGUC